GAAAGUCAAAGUCUUUGUUUAUAAAGGAAUAUAAUCACAGAUUAUUUAACUGGUUGGUGGCCUUUUCGCUUGUAAUGGUGACUGUGGGCUGUUUUGUCAUAAAAUUCAUUUUGCUUGAAACCGGAGCGUGGAUACUUUUUAUAUUUUUUGGAGACGUACACACGGAUGUUUUGGUCACCUGAGUCUCUAUAUUACAAUCCCGUUUGGCAUGGCGUUAUCUUGAUGCCUUUAAAAAAUAAUAAAGAAAAUACUAUCUUUGGGGGCUUGCCAUUUGGCUAAACAUGCUUUUGAUGAGGUAAAAAGUUGAUCUAGACUCCUUGAGUGAAGAGUCUUACAAGGACAUCAUCUUGAUCAUGAAGCUCUCGAGAGAUAACCUCACCCUCUAGACCUCUGAUUCGCAAGUACUUCAUACGCUUCUCACAUAUAUAAAAGCCAAUAAACAUAUUUCAUGGGAGCCGCCCCUGAAUCGCUUACAGUGAUUUGCCCGGUUGAUGAAAAAUCCCAGAUGUACCACUUCUAAGGCCCUGGACUUUUACUACGCUUUGGGCACCCAAACUGGUUGAGCCGCCCCUGAAUCGUUUAUAGGCUGUAAUGAAGGUUCUACCAGAACUAAAUGGAAAACUGACAGGUGUGGCCUUUAACUUGUCAACUUGAGAAGAAGGCUUCUUAUGAAAAUGUUAAAGCUGCAGUCAAGUAUGCACUAUAAAACGGGUUUCAAGCAACAUAUGAUAUCAAUGACAUAAACAAAGGAGCUGUGCUGAUAUUUAUUUAGCGAUGAAGCUUAAAAUUAGACAAUGUAUGCAUUAAAAGCACCAUGACACAGAUCUGUGUACUUUAUAAUAUAUAUUUGCAUAACUUGAGAGUUUACAUCGACACAAUUGGUAGACACAUCUAGCUGUGCUUUGUAAGUCCAUCUUCAAUAAUUGUCUUUUCGGGGA
This is a long non-coding RNA of Helianthus annuus (common sunflower), 938 nucleotides long. RefSeq lists it as uncharacterized. The transcript is spliced from 5 exons. Lineage: Eukaryota; Viridiplantae; Streptophyta; Magnoliopsida; Asterales; Asteraceae. The record is from RefSeq and is a predicted model, not a curated record.